This 103-nucleotide non-coding RNA is filed under the name Marinilactibacillus sp. 15R. Its description in RNAcentral is "SAM riboswitch aptamer (S box leader)". It matches the Rfam family "SAM riboswitch aptamer (S box leader)". Rfam says of the family: The SAM riboswitch is found upstream of a number of genes which code for proteins involved in methionine or cysteine biosynthesis in Gram-positive bacteria. The SAM riboswitch acts at the level of transcription termination control. RNAcentral also lists the same sequence under 1 other name. The record is from Rfam by way of RNAcentral. Lineage: Bacteria; Bacillati; Bacillota; Bacilli; Lactobacillales; Carnobacteriaceae.
AGCUUAUUAAGAGCAAGCGGAGGGAAUUGGCCCAAUGAAGCUUCAGCAACCGACCUUUUGGCACGGUGCUAAAUCCAACAAGUGUGAACUUGGAAAAUAAGAC